Homo sapiens (human) is the source of this 6382-nucleotide long non-coding RNA. Ensembl annotates it as endogenous retrovirus group K13 member 1. Its record names the gene ERVK13-1. The record is from Ensembl. Lineage: Eukaryota; Metazoa; Chordata; Mammalia; Primates; Hominidae.
GGGGGGCGGGGCGUCGCGGGCACAGCGUGAGGGCCGCCGUUGCUGGAGUUCAGCUUAGGGAAGGAGGACUCUGAGGAGGCCCCGAGCGGCGGAGCGCUUCGGGGGAGGCGCCCGCGCAGACGCGAGGCCCAUAGCCAGGACCACCACCUAGCUGUUCUACAGUCUGGGGACGACGGUUUAAAAAUUUAUGCCUUGCAUGCGAUGUGCAGUGGGUGAUGGAAGAACGUCUACAUGGCUUUAAAAUUGGAUUUAAAAGGCAAAUAUUUUAAAUGAAGGAAAACCCAAGAAGUUUACUUGAUUCCUUAUCUUCCAGGAUGCGACUUUUGUUUAUUUAUUUAUUUUAUUUUGAUGGAGUCUCGCUGCCGUCGCGCAGGCUGGAGUGCAGUGACGCGAUCUUGACCCGGGAACCUCCACCUCCCGGGUUCAAGCGAUUCUCCUUCCUCAACCACCCGAGUAGCUGGGAUUACAGGCGUGUGCCACCAUGCCCGGCUAAUUUUUGUGUUUUUAGUAGAGACCGGGGAAGGUAUGGGCCCUCUUUUGAGAAAAAUGCAGAGUGACACUGAAUUUUGUAACUACAUCAGGAGGCUCUUGAACCUUCUGCAGCUCACUCGUGGAGUUUGUAGAGAUGCGUAAUAAUCCGAAGUGUUAAGGAAGAAGGUUCUGUUGAGAAAAAGUUGGAGGGCUGAAAGGGAUGCCUUUCGCUAUUUCGACAUGUGUGGCUGUACCCCAGAGUGCCCUGGCUAACACGCAAAACCAUGAAUUAGGCGGCUUGGCGAGGCUCAGUGGAGGCUGGGGCCGAGAGUCAUGUCAAAGUUUGUGGGGUUAACCUGCACCCAGUGACAGUCAUGGCGAAGUUUGUGAGGUUAACUCGCACCCAGUAACGCUGUUCCAAUGCAAGGUGUGUAUUUGGUGUCAUCCACGGGAAGAGGAAACAGCAAAUUUUCUCAUGGCCUUGGCAGUUCCACAUGAUGGACAUUUCAUAUCUGCAGUUUUCUUCGCAUGAGAUGGCUUUUUUGCACAAAAACACUGGAAUCCAGUGAGCAAGAAUGAUAGAAUGCAAGAUGGAUUUCCACAUGAGGAAGUGUCACGAACAAGCGUUUUGCAUCUCUGUCAGCUGGAUUCCCCCAUGUGUACGUAUGUGAGAACAUGCCGUGUUUCCUGUCUGUAAUGGUAGAGGCAGCCCUGAUACUGGAUUUUCACCUGAGGAUGGAUAGAUCUUCAGGGUUCAAGUGGGUUUGCAUCUGGACUUUAGGGUGGCCCUGUAGGCCCUGUGUGAGAAGCCCCCUUCCCAGUGAACUUUCCCUUGUGUGCCCGCGUGGACAGCCAACAGGGGGAGCAGUGCGAGCGUGAAGGCAGACAGUGGCCUGGCCCAGUCUGAUGGUAAGUGGGCCAGAGGCAGUGAGUACCAUUUCUUGAUCUGACUACUCAAGACAGGCGCUUCCCUAGGUACUUUCACACCUCAUUGCGAGGUACGUGUUGUUCCCAUUUUACAGGUGCAGAAGCUGAGCUGCAGAGGCGUUAGGUACCUGCCUCAUAAGUGGUAGAGACUCCAGUGUCACCCUGCCCCUCACGUUCGGAGCCCCCGAGGGAGGGUCUGCCGGGCAGCUCAGCCCAGCACUCUGUAAGGAAAUCUUCAGUGCCACUGCCCAGGAUGUCUUCCCGGGGAUUGGGCCUGAAUGUCUUGACCAUGCCGUGCUGGAGGUAGGAGGGGUGUCUUCAUAUGGAAGAACUGUACAUAUUUCUUUGGCAGAUGGCUGAACUCUGUGACCCCGGGGCCUGUUUCAGCCUCCUGCUGUCAGAAAGCAGCUGUUUGGGAAGAGGCUGUGAUUCGGCCUUGUUUGAGGGCCGAUACUCUGAAUGGGUGAGGCUUGGAAUCCUCCCUUUGGAACAAAGAAACAUAAUGAUUUUGCUGAAGGUAGAAUUGGGGGACUAGGCAGAGUGGCCUCCUGCCCUCCCUGGGGUGGUUCUGUCUUUUGCAAAGGUGGCUGCAUCCUUAGGGGAAGGUGAGGGGAGAAGCAGGGAGCAUGGAGAGAAGUGGCUUUCGAUUUUCUCUCUCCUUUUGGGGAGUUCCUCCUUAUGUGGCUGGUCUGGUGCAUAGUGUGAUGUAUUCCUGUACGCAACGUUGCCCUGACAGCCAGUCCAAGCUGAGUCUAGAGCUGGCAAGGUGAGCUCCCAGUAGUAAGAGGGUGUGGGCGGCAAGCCACCCAGGCACCGAGGCAAGAGACAGAGGACACGAGCUGUUCCAGUAUAAUAAAAUAUAAAACAAGAAUAGUUAUACCAGAUAUAGAUCUUAGAUAUGAUUAUAUAUGAAUAUCAUUAAUCAUGAGUUUGCAGCAAUUACUUUUUAUUCCAAUAUUAUGAUAAUCCUCGCUCUAUAAUCAUAGCCUAGGAAAAACCAGGCCAUACAGAGGAGCUGAGGGGACAUAGUGAGGUGUGACCAGAAGACAAGAGUGCGAGGCUUCUGUUAUGCCCGGACAGGGCCACAAGAGGGCUCCUUGGUCUAGCGGUGACGCCAGCGUCUGGGAAGACGCCCGUUACCCGGCGGAUCGUGGCCCAGUGGUAGCAAAAGGUGUCAAGGAACAACACUCACUACUUAGCAGACCGGGAAAGGGGCGGGGGGGGGGUCUCCCUUUCCCCGGGGGAGUUUAGAAAAGACUCUGCUCCUCCACCUCUUGUGGAGGGCCUGACAUCAGUCAGGCUUGCCCGUAGUUAUCCGGAGGCCUAACUGUCUCCCUGUGAUGCUGUGCUUCAGUGGUCACACUCCUUGUCUGCCUUCAUGUUCCAUCCUGUACACCUGGCUCUGCCUUCUAGAUAGCAGUAGUAAAUUAGUGAAAAUACUAAUAGUCCCUGAUAUGCAGAAAUAAUGGUAUAAGCUGUCUUUCUCUCUGUCUCCUCUCCCUCUCUGCCUCGGCUGCCAGGCAGGGAAGGGCCCCCUGUCCAGUGGACACGUGACCCACGUGACCUUACCUAUCAUUGGAGGUGACUCACAUUCUUUACCCUGCCCCUUCUGUCUUGUAUCCGAUAAAUAACAGCGCAGUCAGACAUUCGGGGCCACUACCGGUCUCCGCGCAUUGGUGGUAGUGGUCCCCCGGGCCCAGCUGCCUUUUCUCUUAUCUCUCUGUCUUGUGUCUUUAUUUCUACACUCUCUCAUCGCCACACACAGGGAGAGACCCACCGACCCUGUGGGGCUGGUCCCUACAUCUGGCGCUCUGACGUGGGGCUCUCCCUCGCUGUGUGAAGUUGCACCCUGAGUGCGGGAUCAGCGGAGGAGUUCAACGAGAGAUUCCUGAGGAUUGCAGUCUAUAAACUUGGUGGGGUUUUGUUUGUGUUUCCCCAGGAAAAGAACUACAGCCUGUGUGGGUCCCCUCCCGACAAUUAAAAUUGCACCAUAACUCCAAAGAUGAAACGCUCCCAGAAAGAAAAGGCAAAGACCCAUCGGAAACAAAAGAGCAACUUUCACCGCCUGAUACAUACACUUCAUGACAUCCACAUUGAGACAAAAUCUCGCCGUGUGACCUACAACACCUCUCGUUCAACCCCACCUACUUGGGGUCGAAUACAGAUUUUAUCUCAUCAAACAGAAAAAUUCUUAACAGAAAAAGGAAUCCCAAAAAUGACUGGUAAUAUAAUUCUGGCUGCCUUUAUGGUAGUCAGUGCAGCGGUAAGUAUACCACCGGUCGGGGCAACUCAAAAUUAUACUUAUUGGGCAUAUGUUCCUUUUCCCCUUCUAAUUCGGUCUGUCUCCUGGAGGGACUCUCCAGUAGAAGUUUACACUAAUAAUAGUGCAUUCAUGCCGAUCCCUAAUGAUGAUCGGUUUCCAGCUCAACCGGAAGAAGAAGGUAUGCACUUUAAUCUGUCAAUUGGCUAUAAAUAUCCACCAUUAUGUAUUGGGAAGUCGCCUGGUUGUUUAGCUUAUUCUUAACAGAAUUGGAUGUGGACUGUACCGUCCUUUACAAAUGAUUCUUAUCAAGUAUAUAAUGUGUUCAGUACUAACUCUUUUCAACUUCUCACUGUCAAACGUACCCCACAUGAGGCAUGGAGAGUUCCUCUCACUACCAAAACUAAUAAAACAAAAGGACUGCCGGACUGUCCAAAGAAACCUACAAAUGGGCCUUUUAUAGUGACUUCAAUUUUAUGGGAUAAUUGUAAUGCUCCCAAGGCUGUUGUACUCCAAACUCUAGCCAUGGGUAUUGUUAUUGAUUGGGCUCCAAAAGGACAUUAUUGGCAAGAUUGCUCCAGCAAAAAUACCUUAUGCUCGGAGUUUAUUUAUUCCUUAGAUUAUAUAGAGCAUGGGUGGCAGUCUUACACGAUGAGACAACGGGUGUCUCCUUACCCAUUUAAAUGGAUGGACACAGGUAUUGCUCCUCCUAGACCAAAAAUUAUUCAUCCCUUUUUUACCCCAGAACAUCCUGAACUAUGGAAAUUAGCUGCAGCUUUGUCGGGAAUAAAGAUAUGGAACACUACCUAUCAGCUCCUUCGUACUAAAACCAAAACACCCACAUUCAACAUCACCCUUAUUUCUGAAUGGGUGAUACCCAUUAGGAGCUGUGUCAAACCCCCUUACAUGCUGUUGGUUGGAAAUAUAAUUAUGAUGCCUGAUGCACAAACUAUAGAAUGUCAUAACUGUAAGCUGUUCACUUGCAUUGAUGCAACUUUUAAUCCCACUACAAGUAUUCUCUUGGUAAGGGCUAGGGAGGGGGUAUGGAUACCAGUUUCUCUACAUCGUCCAUGGGAGUCUUCCCCCUCUAUUCACAUAGUCAAUGAAGUUCUUAAAGACAUCCUCAAAAGAACAAAGAGAUUUAUUUUUACUCUUAUUGCAGUCCUUGCAGGACUACUUGCGGUUACUGCAACAGCAGCAACUGCUGGAGUUGCCAUCCGCAGUUCUGUUCAAACUGCUCACUAUGUUGAAGCAUGCCAGAAAAAUUCCUCCAGACUUUGGAAUUCUCAGGCGCAAAUUGAUCAAAAAUUAGCUAAUCAGAUUAAUGAUCUCCGCCAAAGUGUAACCUGGCUGGGAGAUAGAGUUAUGAACUUGCAACACCGUAUGCAAUUACAGUGUGAUUGGAAUACUUCUGAUUAUUGCAUAACGCCUUAUGCUUAUAAUCAAGAUCAACAUAGCUGGGAAAAUGUCUCAAGACAUUUAAAAGCCUGGGAUGAUAACUUAACCUUGGAUAUUUCACAACUUAAAGAGCAAAUCUUUGAGGCUUCACAAGCCCAUUUAUCCACAGUUCCUGGCUCACACAUUUUUGAAGGCAUAACUAAACAAUUACCUGAUUUUAAUCCCUUCAAAUGGCUCAAACCCGUCAGAGGAUCAUUGUUGUUACUGGCAUUAUUAAUAUUGGUAUGCUUAUGUUGUCUCCUUUUAGUCUGCAGAUGCCUCUAAGGAGUCCGAAACCAAGUCCGAAGUCAACAACAAGCAAUGAUGGCGAUGGCGAUUCUAGUUAAUAAAAAGGGGGGAGAUGUGGGCGGCAAGCCACCCAGGCACCGAGGCAAGAGACAGAGGACACGAGCUGUUCCAGUAUAAUAAAAUAUAAAACAAGAAUAGUUAUACCAGAUAUAGAUCUUAGAUAUGAUUAUAUACGAAUAUCAUUAAUCAUGAGUUUGUAGCAAUUACUUUUUAUUCCAAUAUUAUGAUAAUCCUCGCUCUAUAAUCAUAGCCUAGGAAAAACCAGGCCAUACAGAGAUAGGAGCUGAGGGGACAUAGUGAAGUGUGACCAGAAGACAAGAGUGCGAGCCUUCUGUUAUGCCCGGACAGGGCCACCAGAGGGCUCCUUGGUCUAGCGGUGACGCCAGCGUCUGGGAAGACACCCGUUACCAGGCGGAUCGUGGCCCAGCCGUAGCAAAAGGUGUCAAGGAACACCUUUUGCAAAAGGUGUCAACACCCGCUACUUAGCAGACUGGGAAAGGGGGGCGGUCUCCCUUUCCCCGGGGGAGUUUAGAGAAGACUCUGUUCCUCCACCUCUUGUGGAGGGCCUGACAUCAGUCAGGCUUGCCCGUAGUUAUCCGGAGGCCUAACUGUCUCCCUGUGAUGCUGUGCUUCAGUGGUCACGCUCCUAGUCUGCCUUCAUUUUCCAUCCUGUACACCUGGCUCUGCCUUCUAGAUAGCAGUAGUAAAUUAGUGAAAAUACUAAUAGUCCCUGAUAUGCAGAAAUAAUGGCAUAAGCUGUCUUUCUCUCUGUCUCCUCUCCCUCUCUGCCUCGGCUGCCAGGCAGGGAAGGGCCCCCUGUCCAGUGGACACAUGACCCAUGUGACCUUACCUAUCAUUGGAGGUGACUCACAUUCUUUACCCUGCCCCUUCUGCCUUGUAUCCAAUAACAGCGCAGUCAGACAUUCAGGGCCACUACCGGUCUCCGCACAUUGGUGGUAGUGGUCCCCCGGGCCCAGC